UACGUAGGGUGCAAGCGUUGUCCGGAAUUAUUGGGCGUAAAGAGCUCGUAGGCGGUCUGUCGCGUCGGCUGUGAAAUCCCGAGGCUCAACCUCGGGUCUGCAGUCGAUACGGGCAAACUAGAGUAUUGCAGGGGAGACUGGAAUUCCUGGUGUAGCGGUGAAAUGCGCAGAUAUCAGGAGGAACACCGGUGGCGAAGGCGGGUCUCUGGGCAAUAACUGACGCUGGAGGAGCGAAAGCGUGGGGGAGCGAACAGG
This 255-nucleotide ribosomal RNA is filed under the name uncultured bacterium. RNAcentral's name for it is "partial 16S ribosomal RNA". It matches the Rfam family "Bacterial small subunit ribosomal RNA", at positions 524 to 776 of the family's 1533-position model. The record is from RNAcentral.